AGCUGACGAGUCCCAAAUAGGACGAAACGCGUGUCCU
Molecule: non-coding RNA, 37 nt
Organism: Schistosoma haematobium
Lineage: Eukaryota; Metazoa; Platyhelminthes; Trematoda; Strigeidida; Schistosomatidae
Source: Rfam